AAUAAACGAAUUUCUGUGUUUUUUAGAAUUUUUGACUCUUUAUCUUAUUUGAAAUUUUUUAUGAUUAAUAUUUUUAUUGUUACUACAUGAUAAAACAUAAAUAGUACUUUAUAUGUGACUAAUUUUUUUCAAUAUUUUAAUAAAUUUUUCAAAUAAGACGGAUGAUCAAACGCUCGACCUAAAAAUUC
RNAcentral lists this microRNA precursor (188 nucleotides) under Oryza brachyantha (malo sina). RNAcentral's name for it is "MIR812 microRNA precursor family". It matches the Rfam family "MIR812 microRNA precursor family". The record is from Rfam by way of RNAcentral. Lineage: Eukaryota; Viridiplantae; Streptophyta; Magnoliopsida; Poales; Poaceae.